CCCUUAGAUGUUCUGGGCCGCACGCGCGCUACCCUGAUGCAUUCAACGAGCCUAUCCUUGACCGACAGGUCCGGGUAAUCUUUGAAUCUGCAUCGUGACGGGGAUAGAUUAUUGCAAUUAUUAAUCUUCAACGAGGAAUGCCUAGUAGGCGCAAGUCAUCAGCUUGCGUCGAUUACGUCCCUGCCCUUUGUACACACCGCCCGUCGCUCCUACCGAUUGGGUGUGCUGGUGAAAUGUUCGGAUCGGCCGUUUGUCGCGGUUUCCGCGUCAUGUGGCUGAGAAGUUCAUUAAACCCUCCCACCUAGAGGAAGGAGAAGUCGUAACA
This 325-nucleotide ribosomal RNA is filed under the name uncultured eukaryote. Its description in RNAcentral is "partial 18S ribosomal RNA". It matches the Rfam family "Eukaryotic small subunit ribosomal RNA", at positions 1470 to 1796 of the family's 1831-position model. The record is from RNAcentral.